Long non-coding RNA from Callithrix jacchus (white-tufted-ear marmoset), 1670 nucleotides. RefSeq lists it as uncharacterized. The record is from RefSeq and is a predicted model, not a curated record. NCBI's taxonomy places the organism in Eukaryota, Metazoa, Chordata, Mammalia, Primates, Cebidae.
GCCAGGUUUAGGGAAAAUAAUUAACAUUUGUUGAUUUUUUUUAGAUGUUUAUUUGACAUCUAGAAGAGAUGUAGAGGCCAUACUGGAUAUGGAAGUCUAUAGUUUGGGGAGAGAGCAAAGCUGGAGACAUAAAAUUUGGAAGUCAAUAGCAUAUUUGUCCUUUAAGGUCUUGAGACUUGAUGAGAUUACAUAGGAGCAGAGUCUAAUAGAGAGCUAAUGAGGUCACAAUACUGAACCCUCAUGUCUUUAUGACAUUUGGAGGUCGGUAAAAGAGGAUUCAGUAAGUGGGAGAAAAACCAGAAGACAACUUGACUUUAGAGCUGGGAAUAAAAGUCUCACUUAAAAGAGUGAAAUGAAAACUGACCAAGAACAAAGGCAUCAUUAAUUUCAAGUGGAAGAAAUAAUUCACAAACCUGAGAAUAGCAGUUUCCUUCUGAUUUGGGAUCGCUUUUGCCUAUCAUGCAGCAGCACCUUAUCAUGUCACUUGAAAAGGUUCUUGAAAACCAUUGUCAAAAGACUGAAAGAAGAAGACAAGCAGAUCAGCUGUUCCCUGGAAUACAAGUACUGUCGUGAGCUAUUAUAUGCACUGAAUCUUUUAAUCACCCUAGCAACCUGUGACAUAGUCUCACUCUGUUGUCCAGGCUGAGAUGCAGUGGUGCAAUCACAGCUCACUGUAGCCUUGAACUCCCAGGCUCAGAGGGUCUAAAGAGGAGCUACCUUGUCACUCGCUUGAGGAUUCAUCAGCAACAGAAGAGGAAGCUGAUCUAGGGGGAUGCUGCUGAUUGUCUGUAAGCCAUACAAGGAGUAGACAGUUCACAGAGGAGCAGAUGCCACAGCCACCAUUAUCUUGUCUGUGUGUGUGUUCUUCAUUCGUUCCUAGGAUAAGGCUUUUGCAAGGAGAAUAAUGCUCUUUUCCCUUUUGUGGAGGUAAACUUGUAUGUGGAUGAUCAUACUUGUAUGCAACCUACUGUAAGAGAAAAACAUAAUAAAUCCUACAAAUAAAAAAUAACAUUUUGCUCACAUCACAGUUGGGAAUGGGUUGCAGGGUCCUCUGAGGCAGCUGUCCUUUAAGUGUUUACUCAGGGAUCUCAGCAUUGCUGCCUUUGACUAUGUGGCUACAUCAUCUUGGGCCAAGAGAUCAUGGAAGAUUAUUUGGGACUGCAGGUACAUAGUUCUGGUGAAAACUCUGAAGAAGGUAUGUGAGCAAUUAAAAUUUGUCAAAUGCAGUGUUAGGUGACAACCUGCAUCGGAUUUCUAGAUAGCCAGUGUUUGAUGGAAUCUCCCUGGUGUUGGCUCUCUAGACCAUUUGUUCUAGGGACCUGUCUGCCCAACUGGACUUCCUGCCUUGUCUCAUAGUGCCUCCCUGAUGUCUCCUCAACUGCAACUCCAAAUCCCAGCCACUCUCUGUCUGCAUCCCUCAGCUACACAGUCCCCUUCCUGGUCCUCUGCAUGAUGAAAUAAGUCAAGUAGACCGGUUCAAACUUCUCCACUGGGACUGCAAACUGUGAUCUCAGACAAUGAAGCAUGGCCUCCUAAAGUUAUAAGCCCAGGCAUUCCAGAGAGACAGAAUGUUGGAAAAUGCCUUAUGUUAAAUGCAAUAAGGCAAAUGAAAGAACAUGCUUUAAAAAUAAUAAGAUCUGAGAGAAGUGUGUUUUAUUUAAUUAUUAUAU